GGCAAGAUGGCCGAGCGGUCUAAGGCGCUGUCUUCAGGUUUAAAUCUGGUCUGGCAGUCCGAAAGGGCGUGGGUUCGAAUCCCACUCUUGUCA
Non-coding RNA from Parathielavia appendiculata, 93 nucleotides. The record is from the annotation of a RefSeq genome assembly. Lineage: Eukaryota; Fungi; Ascomycota; Sordariomycetes; Sordariales; Chaetomiaceae.